RNAcentral lists this ribosomal RNA (274 nucleotides) under uncultured bacterium. RNAcentral's name for it is "partial 16S ribosomal RNA". It matches the Rfam family "Bacterial small subunit ribosomal RNA", at positions 523 to 796 of the family's 1533-position model. The record is from RNAcentral.
AUACGGAGGGUGCAAGCGUUAAUCGGAAUUACUGGGCGUAAAGAGUACGUAGGCGGUUCGUUAAGUUAGAUGUGAAAGCCCCGGGCUUAACCUGGGAACUGCAUUUAAAACUGGCGAACUAGAGUUGAGUAGAGGGGAGUGGAAUUUCAGGUGUAGCGGUGAAAUGCGUAGAGAUCUGAAGGAACACCAGUGGCGAAGGCGACUCCCUGGACUCGAACUGACGCUGAGGUACGAAAGCGUGGGUAGCAAACGGGAUUAGAAACCCCAGUAGUCC